This is a long non-coding RNA of Cimex lectularius (bed bug), 542 nucleotides long. RefSeq lists it as uncharacterized. The record is from RefSeq and is a predicted model, not a curated record. Lineage: Eukaryota; Metazoa; Arthropoda; Insecta; Hemiptera; Cimicidae. The transcript has 5 exons.
UGAAAGAAAACAUGAAACUUGCACUAUUUUCCGGACAACCCAAAAAAACCUUUCUUAAUUCUAUUAUAAACUAUUGAAAAAGCAGUUGGAUAGAGCUAGCUACAGUUUUGACUCUUCUCGCUGAUGACCAGACGUUAAUAUUAGGACAGUUAGACAGCAAAUGCAAGCGGCCCAUAGUUUUUCAGGUGCGACUAGGUUUGUCAGCACCAGUAUUGAAGUUGCCAAGGCCAGAAGAAGCCAAAUGAGACCAGUAAAGCGAGAACAGGCAGACUAAGAUAAUCAUCAACAACUACAUACUACGUCAUCAUAGGCGUACCCGCAACAUUGUAAAGAUUUUGUAUUCAGGGCUGCUUCGAAAUAUUUACAUCUUAACCAUGGUUAAUAAAAAAGUAACCUACAUCAUACUAGUUUAUUAGUUUAUUUCUUGAUGACCUCAGACCUGAGAUAAGUUUCAUCAAAUAAACUGUAUUAAGGGAAUACAAAUUUUAAGAGAAAUGAAAAACGAUGGGCCUGUCUUAGAUCUUAAGCACAGCUUUUUAAAC